UUAUAAAUAUUUUAAAGCAUUUUUUAAAAUUAUAAUAUUUAAAUUUUGAUAAAGUUAUAAUAUUUAUAAUUUCUUGAAACAUUUUAAAGUUUCAAUUCUUUAAAAUAAAAAAACCCGAGUAAAUCGGAUAACUAUUUUAAUUUUGGACGCCUGAUAAAUCAAGCUUCCUGCUCAUUCGUAAUCAGAAUCAUUUUGGUCCUUUUAUAAUAUGGAUCUGAACCAUUAUCCAAUUUUUCUAAGCGAUGUGGGACAUUGUACACAUAUUAUUUCUUCAUAGGUUGAAUAAUAUAUGCCCGUUUUAAAAAAAUUGAAUUACAUCAUAUGCAGAAAAAAUAUAAUAUUUUAUUAACUAUAUAUAUUUUAUAUAAAUUCAAAAUAAAUAAAGUAUAAGAUCAAAUAAAAGUGAAAGAAGAAUUAUAUAUUUAUGUUUAAAUUAGGUAGAAAUAUUUUAGGAAAUUAGUUAAGGUAAAUAACAAAUAUGGUUAGUUUAGAGAUAUUGUUUAUAUUAAAUUUGGUAAUUAAAUCAUUAAUUUUCGUUUUAAAUUAUUAGGUUUUAGGUAACUUUUCCAAAAAUUAAUGUUAUCUAAGAUGAGAACAGAAUUAAACAUGUUAUCCAAGAUCCGAACAGAGUUAAACCGGGUAAAACCCACCCAUUUGAAUUAAUUGUUAAAUUAUGGCUCAAAUCUUUAACAUUAUCUUCAAAAAACGUCUACAAAAAUGUAUAUAUAGAUUAUUUUAAAGAAGAUUUUUGAUCCUAUUGCUAGUUAUCUAAGUUUAUUACCUUUUUAGAAAUUUCACGAAAUCUUAUUAUAACCAUUUUGGAAGUUUUAAAAACCAUGUUGAUUGAUAGGUGAUAUAUGAACAAUCUAUCAUCUUUAUGU
This 881-nucleotide small RNA is filed under the name Arabidopsis thaliana (thale cress). RNAcentral's name for it is "ATSL045740". Lineage: Eukaryota; Viridiplantae; Streptophyta; Magnoliopsida; Brassicales; Brassicaceae. The record is from RNAcentral.